CUAACACCGGAGUGCGUAGAUCUGUAGGUCCAACCGCCCCCUGGCCGACGUGCGCUGAUCUGUAGGUCCAACCGCUCCCUGGCCGGGGGCCCUAGCCACUCUUGAAGCCCCGGCCUCCUCUGGGCACCCAGGGGGCAGAUGGCUGGCCUCCCGACUGCUGGUGGCAAGGCGAUGAAGCAGCUGGCGCCGUUGGCAGUGGAGAGGCAGAAGCAGAUCUGGAACGCUCCUCUUUGCCCCUUCUGCAGCUGCCCCAGGCUGUGGUCAGAGACUGGGGGUCCGCGUAGGGAUUUAGGUCCCUUCGUGCAGAGGCCUGGAGUGAUGCUAGCUCAUCAGCGCCUACAUGGAAUGGAGCUGUUCCAGCUGGCUAGAGCCAUGCUCCAAAGACAACCUUUCACCCUAGAGAGCUGAUUAAUGGUUUUUAAGAGGGGAUGUGGGAGUAUGGCAGCAGAACAUCAGUUUCCGAAGUUGGAAUUCAAUCCCGAGUGAAUAUACCCAAGAGUGUAUGAAACAAAAAAACAGCAAAACAUAGCAAGGACUCCACAAGCCUCCAAAUUCAAGACAAGUCAUUGACAACCUUCUUCAAUAGCAGGUCUCAGCAGCUGCAGGUCAGACCACGAAAGUGCCCCAGAAUGAUCAUCCCAACACAUUCCAGUCUUUCUGAUCAUGACACCUUAUAGUCAGCACUCCCACCUAGGAUUAAAUUUUUACAAUGUGGAGACUGUUGCUUGCCUGCCUCAUUAAAGCUGGCCUCUGGGGCGGGGAGGCCCUUUCAAAUUCAAACCAUGACUUUUAGAAUUCAAAUCACAAUGUUAGGUUUCCAGUUCAAACUGUGGUUUUUGAGAUGCUGAUUAUUUUUUGUUAAGACCUUAUCCCCCACCCCCAGAACUCUCAGAAGACUAAGGGGAAAAAAGGGUAGUAAAACACAAGGAAUUCCUUCAGGGAAGGAAACUUCCUCCAGAAGACCCUCAAACCAGGGAUGCUUCUUUGCUCUUUUCCUUUUAAGCUAGAAUCUCUCAAAACCACAAUUUGAACUUGUAACCACAAUUUUCCUGACACUGUAUCAAAGGCUGGUCUUAAAGGAGCCACCAAUAUGCCUAGGAUCAACCCUACUCCACUGUGGGGACAGAGCAGCCUUUCUUCCCACUGGAUCACUGGGAGAAACGUGGGCCCAGACACUGGCCCACCGAGCUGAAAAGAAGACAGGCUUUGUUUGCCAGACAGAAGAGUGAACCCAUAUGUGCCCUACUCCUGCUGUAUUUUCAAACCAAAAGCACCAAAUGGUCACUUGAUUAGAUCAGAGGAAACAAAAUGAGGGUUCAAAGGGCAUGUGGCAACAAGCAGCUGGAAGGCACAUGAGAAGCUACUAGGUGGCCUGCAGGCUAGAUGACUAGACACUGCACACACAGCUGGCUGUAAAACCAGGAAAGGCAGCCCAGGCCCAGCAGGUUACUGGCAGAGGCAAGUAAGAAUCAAAUGGUGUCAAGGACAACCAAAAAGACCAGUGAAUUUCUAAACCCAUCAUCCUUGGGAUCCCAUCAAACAAUCACGUGAUCAAGAAGAGGUAUAGAUGUCUUCACUUUCACUACCUGAAAAGAGUUGUUCUAACAGCAAGGGCAAGUGAAUGCAACAGCUGCCAUAAACAGUAGAAUACUGCCUACGUUCGCAGUAAAUUAGGAAUAGUAUACCUGAGGUCCUGGAUAGCUGGGCAGGGUGAAUAAAAGCAAAAACAAACGUA
Macaca mulatta (Rhesus monkey) is the source of this 1735-nucleotide long non-coding RNA. RefSeq lists it as uncharacterized. NCBI's taxonomy places the organism in Eukaryota, Metazoa, Chordata, Mammalia, Primates, Cercopithecidae. The record is from RefSeq and is a predicted model, not a curated record.